AGCAGGCUGUCCCUAUCUCUUUCUUGUUCAAAAUUAAGAGUCAGACCUUGUAGUCUUUGUAAUCUUCUGAUACAUUGAGGGGAUCUCCCAACAUUCCAGAGAGACUUGUGUUUCUCCCUUAUAUUCUUCAUUCACCAACGUUACCCAAUAGUUUUCAUUAAUAAUGUUUUUAUUCUCUGCUCCUUCAAUAACUACACUCUCUCAAACCAGUGUCUUGCUCGGUUGCUCUCAGAUUUGAGACUCAUCAGAAAAGAGAUGAUAGAUAAAUUUAUGUGAGUUUAUGAGCACUUGAGUGAAAUCCCAUAGAAGAAGAGAAGAAGAGCCCAGUUCAAAACCUUGAAGGGCACCUACAUGAAGGACUUAAUUAAGAAUCCAGCAAAGGAGACUAAAACAGGAUAAUCAGAGAAGUCCUAGGACAACCAGGAUAGUUUUGUUAUGAAAAUUAGAGAAUUUGGGUAUCAAGGAGUGCAGAGAUCUUAAGAAGAAUGAGGAUUAAGAAGAAGGCCAUUAAGAGAUUUUUGCAAUUUCAUUUGAAUGAUGAAGUUGAAAACCAGACUGUAGUUCAAAAAAAAGAGUAGGAAGAAGGGAAGUAGAAGCACCUUUUAUAGAUAGCAUUUUCAAAAAUUUCAAUCCCAAAGGGAAGAGAGAGAUAGGAAAUGAUAGCUAUCAGGGAUAGAUGGAUAAAAUGAAGGCUGUUUUUCAUUUGGGGUUGAAGGAAAGCUGCCAGUAGAUGAGGAGAGUUUGAAAACAAAAUGAAACAACGGGAAUACUAGAGAGAUUCUCUGCUGGGUGAAGGAUGAAGUAAAGAGAGCACAUAUUUUGGCAUUUCCUUCAGAAUAUAUGGGGACAACAUAUUGUCCUUUCUACACCCACUCCUGUGGUUGAGAUAUAUGUUCUCAUCUGUUGUUCUAGGAAGUGAGGUUGGUGUAGGACCUGUCACCCAUAUCCCAGACCAUGGAGAACCAGGAAAAAUCAUGACAUCACUGACUAGUGGCCUCCUGAUCCGUGAAUCCCCUGUAUAUGCUAUAGAGAGUGACAUUGGUGUAGGGCCCUUCACCCAUAUCCCAGAACAUGGAGCACCUGGAGACAUGACAUCAGUGACCAGUGAAUCUACUGUAUGUGCCAUGGGAGGUGAUGCUGGUGUGGUGCCAGACACACAUGCCCAAGGCCAUGAUGCACCAGGAAGCACAGUAGCACCAAUAAGGAGCUCCCUCACCCCUGUGUCUACUAUUAUUCCCACAGGUAAGUAGGUACCUCCUCUCUGUCUCUGUGUUGGAGGUUUAUCCUUUUUAGGGCCUUGUUUCCCAAUCUUACAGAGGAAACAUGAAAUUAUUUUAGAGAUCAAUCCUCAAGAACUCUUCUGAACCUCUGAUUCCUUUCUAUGUAUAGCCUGGAGAAGAGAAGUUUUAGAGGUAGGAGUGAGAUUCCCACUGCUAAGGUCUUUUAUAUAAGCAACCAUAGGUAUAAAGUUGGAAGGAAACUUUAAACCAUCAGGUAUUAUGGAUAGCCUCUCAUUUUACUGAUGUGGAUACUGAGGUUUAGAGAAGUAAAGUAAUUAGCUCAGGGUGACCGGAUAUGACUGGAAAGGACCCUUAAAGGUCAUCUAGCUGGAUCCCAUCUUUUUACAUAUUGGAAAAUUGGGGUGGAGAGAAGUUAUGUGACAUGCCCUAUGACACAAAAGUAGAAAGCAGCAGACGUGAGAUUUGAACCUAGGACUCUAUUAUGCUGUAUUUCAAGGUCAAGAGGAGAAGUCAGCCCUAACACCUCACAUUGAAUGGCUUCCACUUUGGGAAAGAUUCCUUCUAUGAACUCUCCCAAGUUCAUAGCAGAGAAUGUGUUUUUACAUUCUUAUUUACAUCUUCAGUAUUUAGGAUAGAGCUGGGCACAUGAUAAAUACUUAAUUAAUGGAAACUAAUUGAUUGCUUUGAUCUAAUGAGUAGAUUUGUGAGAUUCAGUUUAUUAAAAAAAUUUGUCUUAAAAAUGUAUCUUAUACACCUACAAACUGAACUUGCCUAUGGAAAAGUGAAGGAGAAUGGAAUAAGCAAUUACGUAACACCUACUAUGUGCCAGGCACUUUGACUAAGCAUUUUUUAUAGAAAUAGUAUCUCAUUUGAUCCACAGAACAACCCUAAGUGUUGGGCUUUAUAGUUAGCCCCAUUUUUCAGAUGAGAAAAAGAUGCAAGCAAUGACUGCUUGACUUUCCCAGGGUCAUACAGCUAAUGAGUUCUUAGGUCACAUUUGAACUCAGGU
This is a long non-coding RNA of Monodelphis domestica (gray short-tailed opossum), 2250 nucleotides long. Lineage: Eukaryota; Metazoa; Chordata; Mammalia; Didelphimorphia; Didelphidae. The record is from Ensembl.